UACGUAGGGUGCAAGCGUUGUCCGGAAUUAUUGGGCGUAAAGAGCUCGUAGGCGGUCUGUCGCGUCGGAUGUGAAAAUCCAGGGCUCAACCCUGGACCUGCAUUCGAUACGGGCAGACUAGAGUUCGGCAGGGGAGACUGGAAUUCCUGGUGUAGCGGUGAAAUGCGCAGAUAUUAGGAGGAACACCAGUGGCGAAGGCGGCUCACUGGUCCGGUACUGACGCUGAGGUGCGAAAGCGUGGGGAGCAAACAGG
Molecule: ribosomal RNA, 253 nt
Filed under: uncultured bacterium
Lineage: Bacteria
Description: partial 16S ribosomal RNA
Rfam family: Bacterial small subunit ribosomal RNA
Source: RNAcentral